CCUACGGGGGGCUGCAGUGAGGAAUAUUGGUCAAUGGGAGAGAUCCUGAACCAGCCAAGCCGCGUGAGGGAAGCCGGCCCAUUGGGUUGUAAACCUCUUUUGUCGGAGAACAAAACCCGGGACGCGUCCCGGGCUGCGUGUACCCGAAGAAAAAGCAUCGGCUAACUCCGUGCCAGCAGCCGCGGUAAUACGGAGGAUGCGAGCGUUAUCCGGAUUUAUUGGGUUUAAAGGGUGCGUAGGCGGUCUGUUAAGUCAGCGGGAAAAUUGCGGGGCUCAACCCCGUCGAGCCGUUGAAACUGGCAGACUUGAGUUGGCGAGAAGUACGCGGAAUGCGCGGUGUAGCGGUGAAAUGCAUAGAUAUCGCGCAGAACUCCGAUUGCGAAGGCAGCGUACCGGCGCCAGACUGACGCUGAGGCACGAAAGCGUGGGUAUCGAACAGGAUUAGAUACCCUUGUAGUC
Molecule: ribosomal RNA, 459 nt
Filed under: uncultured bacterium
Lineage: Bacteria
Description: partial 16S ribosomal RNA
Rfam family: Bacterial small subunit ribosomal RNA
Source: RNAcentral